Molecule: ribosomal RNA, 502 nt
Filed under: uncultured bacterium
Lineage: Bacteria
Description: bacterial SSU rRNA
Rfam family: Bacterial small subunit ribosomal RNA
Source: RNAcentral
GAUGAACGCUGGCGGCGUGCCUAACACAUGUAAGUCGAACGUGAGGGUGCAGCAAUGUACCUGAAAGUGGCGAACGGGUGAGUAACACGUGGGUAACCUACCCUUGAGUGGGGGAUAACGACUGGAAACGGUCGCUAAUACCGCAUACGACCUUUGAUACGGGAGUAUCGAAGAUGAAAGAUUUAUUGCUCAAGGAGGGGCCCGCGGUCGAUUAGCUAGUUGGUGGGGUAAUGGCCUACCAAGGCUGUGAUCGAUAGCUGGUCUGAGAGGAUGAUCAGCCACACGGGAACUGAGACACGGUCCCGACUCCUACGGGGGGCAGCAGUGAGGAAUAUUGGUCAAUGGGCGCAAGCCUGAACCAGCCAUCCCGCGUGCAGGAAGACGGCCCUAUGGGUUGUAAACUGCUUUUCCAGGGAGAGAAACUUACGCACGUGUUGCGUGACUGACGGUACCCUGGGAAUAAGCAUCGGCUAACUCCGUGCCAGCAGCCGCGGUAAGCAUA